AGAAGGGCAGUCCGACCACCGAGAUUCACUUUUUAGGAAACCUCUGGUCUAGAGCCACAGCUUUUGACGACAGGGAGUGUUCACAGAAAUUUUGUUAUACAUACUUUCGGUCUAAGACCGCAGCCUGUAACAAUACGGGGUUCACAAAGGUAUCUCAGGUAUACGUUGGCGAGGAAAAACUACUCUGUAUUGACAAGGCUGUGUAUAGGGGCUUCUCAUAGUUCUUUAUCUGCUGCUGCUACCGCUGCCACCUCUUGUAUUUUGUCUCUGUUGUGGUGCUGCUCCAUUGUUGCUGUCAUAUUGAUUUGCUGUUGCUCUGUGUAGUAGUUCUCAUUAUGCUGUUAUGGUAGUGCUGCUUUGCUGCUGGUGGCAUAUUUGAUUCCUUUUAAAAAGGGAUCAGCUGUAAUUUAUCUUGCAGAGGGAGCUAGACAGAUUUACUUCAAAAGACUAAUGCUACGGAUGCAUGUAUUGAGGGACAUUAGUGGAUAUAUUCAACAAAAGGGAUUAAUGACUUUGGUCAACUAGGGGAUGGAACCGAUGAGUGAAGGAAAUAUCCAAUGAAAGUGAAGCCAUUAGAGUUAGAAUUUGUAAAAUCUGUGUCCUGUAUAAUUCUUAAUUCUCUGCUUAAAAAUUUAUUUUUGUUAAUAUUUGUAAAUUUCAUGUACACGACCGUUGCACGCAUAUAGAUGACAUUGUCGUAGGCUUUUACCAAGUUUUGAA
This is a long non-coding RNA of Arachis stenosperma, 720 nucleotides long. RefSeq lists it as uncharacterized. The transcript is spliced from 4 exons. The record is from RefSeq and is a predicted model, not a curated record. Lineage: Eukaryota; Viridiplantae; Streptophyta; Magnoliopsida; Fabales; Fabaceae.